CGGCGAGUGAAGCGGCAACAGCUCAAAUUUGAAAUCUGGCCCUUGGGUCCGAAUUGUAAUUUGUAGAGGAUGCUUUUGGUGCGGUGCCUUCCGAGUUCCCUGGAACGGGACGCCAUAGAGGGUGAGAGCCCCGUCUGGUUGGACACCAAUCCUCUGUAAAGCUCCUUCGACGAGUCGAGUAGUUUGGGAAUGCUGCUCUAAAUGGGAGGUAUAUGUCUUCUAAAGCUAAAUACCGGCCAGAGACCGAUAGCGCACAAGUAGAGUGAUCGAAAGAUGAAAAGCACUUUGAAAAGAGGGUUAAAUAGUACGUGAAAUUGUUGAAAGGGAAGCGCUUGUGACCAGACUUGAGCCCGGUUAAUCAUCCAGCCUUCUGGCUGGUGCACUUGGCCGGCUCAGGCCAGCAUCAGUUCGGCGCGGGGGAUAAAGACUUCGGGAAUGUGGCUCCUCCGGGAGUGUUAUAGCCCGUUGUGUAAUACCCUGUACUGGACUGAGGUUCGCGCAUCUGCAAGGAUGCUGGCGUAAUGGUCAUCAGCGACCCGUCUUGAAACACGGACCAAGGAGUCGUCUUCGUAUGCGAGUGUUCGGGUGUCAAACCCCUACGCGUAAUGAAAGUGAACGCAGGUGAGAGCUUCGGCGCAUCAUCGACCGAUCCUGAUGUUCUCGGAUGGAUUUGAGUAAGAGCAUACGGAGCCGGACCCGAAAGAAGGUGAACUAUGCCUGUAUAGGGUGAAGCCAGAGGAAACUCUGGUGGAGGCUCGCAGCGGUUCUGACGUGCAAAUCGAUCGUCAAAUAU
Molecule: ribosomal RNA, 793 nt
Filed under: Pseudocosmospora rogersonii
Lineage: Eukaryota; Fungi; Ascomycota; Sordariomycetes; Hypocreales; Nectriaceae
Description: eukaryotic LSU rRNA
Rfam family: Eukaryotic large subunit ribosomal RNA
Source: RNAcentral